AUACAUAUUGUUUCAGUUUUGCCCAUUGCAUGACUCUCUCCUUUGCGUGAGCUGAAAUUGCUUGAUGAACUCUUGACACAAAGACAAACUAGAGUGCUUUGCAAAUACCAUAUACCAGAAGACUUUAUCAAGCAUAUAUGUUAUCAUACAAGUUGGCAGAAAGUGAUAAUCACGGUUUAAGGCGAUUAAAUUGAAUGUCUAAACAAGUUCCAUCUACAACGGUAUGUCUUAGACUCUGAUAGGGUGUUAAUUGUUGGUUAUUUUAUUGGUAAUUUUCCCCUUUAUCCUUGCCAAAUAUCGUUUUAAUUAUUAAUAUUUACUUAUAUUUGGUAUUGGACUCAAUUUCAGGAAGUGGAACAGAAAACUACAACAAAUGAGGGACUUUUCACUAUACAAUUGAGACUUCAAACAGUUGGGCCCCAUAUGGUGCUACAAGGAAGCCUUUUUCGGUUGAUGGCCCACAAGGAGAAGAAGAAAACGAAUUCCUUUUCUUUGUGCUGAUGGGAGUCUUUGACUAGCAAUAGGAAACUAAACAAGGAGGAAUUUCGGCAGAGCCUCAAUUCUUUGGCUUUUGGACUCCUUAGUCGGCGGGGACCACUGGAUAGCAGGAAGUCAUUUCCCUUUGGCUUUAAAAGGACGAACGUGCAGAAGUUUUCGGGACCGAUAGUUAGAGCUUAGUUUUUUUAGUUUCUUUUUCCCAUCGAAGAACAUUAGAAAGCUCCGAUUGUUUUAUUUUCUUGCACAACUGGUUCUCCAUUAAUGGAGAACUAGCUUCUCAAUUCUAGUGAAGGGAACAACUGAA
RNAcentral lists this long non-coding RNA (802 nucleotides) under Coffea arabica (coffee). Its description in RNAcentral is "long non-coding RNA (CARA_LNC002179)". Lineage: Eukaryota; Viridiplantae; Streptophyta; Magnoliopsida; Gentianales; Rubiaceae. The record is from RNAcentral.